RNAcentral lists this microRNA (22 nucleotides) under Mus musculus (house mouse). Its description in RNAcentral is "mmu-miR-7037-3p". The record is from miRBase by way of RNAcentral. Lineage: Eukaryota; Metazoa; Chordata; Mammalia; Rodentia; Muridae.
UGUCUCCUAAUGUCACCUGCAG